Molecule: small RNA, 101 nt
Filed under: Klebsiella pneumoniae
Lineage: Bacteria; Pseudomonadati; Pseudomonadota; Gammaproteobacteria; Enterobacterales; Enterobacteriaceae
Description: partial RtT sRNA
Rfam family: RtT RNA
About the family: This family represents a bacterial cis-regulatory element known as RtT RNA. The exact function of RtT is unknown although it is thought that it may be involved in changing the cellular response in relation to amino acid starvation.
Source: RNAcentral
ACCUGCAGCAGGUUCGGGUCGAACGCAGUGAGACAACGGAGCCGCUUGCGGCGACGGCCCGAAGGGCGAGGCGAAGCCGAGUCAUCCUGCACGACCCACCA